UACGAAGGGGGCUAGCGUUGCUCGGAAUCACUGGGCGUAAAGCGCACGUAGGCGGAUUGCUAAGUCAGGGGUGAAAUCCUGGAGCUCAACUCCAGAACUGCCUUUGAUACUGGCAAUCUCGAGUCCGGGAGAGGUGAGUGGAACUGCGAGUGUAGAUGUGAAAUUCGUAGAUAUUCGCAAGAACACCAGUGGCGAAGGCGGCUCACUGGCCCGGUACUGACGCUGAGGUGCGAAAGCGUGGGGAGCAAACAGG
Molecule: ribosomal RNA, 253 nt
Filed under: uncultured bacterium
Lineage: Bacteria
Description: partial 16S ribosomal RNA
Rfam family: Bacterial small subunit ribosomal RNA
Source: RNAcentral